Molecule: ribosomal RNA, 253 nt
Filed under: uncultured bacterium
Lineage: Bacteria
Description: partial 16S ribosomal RNA
Rfam family: Bacterial small subunit ribosomal RNA
Source: RNAcentral
UACGUAGGGGGCGAGCGUUGUCCGGAAUCAUUGGGCGUAAAGCGCGUGUAGGCGGCUCGGCAAGUCUGGUGUGAAAACGAGAGGCUCAACCUCUCGCUGUCGCUGGAUACUGCCGGGCUUGAGUCCGGAAGAGGAGAGUGGAAUUCCUGGUGUAGCGGUGGAAUGCGCAGAUAUCAGGAGGAACACCAAUGGCGAAGGCAGCUCUCUGGUACGUGACUGACGCUGAGACGCGAAAGCGUGGGGAGCGAACAGG